GACGAACGCUGGCGGCGUGCCUAACACAUGCAAGUCGAACGGUAACGCAGUGUGCUUGUACCCUCUGGGUGAGCAGCGAACGGGUGAGUAACGCGUGGAUCAUCUUCUUUUUUUUGGGGGACAACAUCGGGAGACGAAUUAUAAUACUACAUAAAACCAUUAAACACAAGAAUCAAGUUAUCAUGAUGCCAUUGCAGCACUCAAAGAUGAUCCGGCGUUUUGUUAGCUAGUUGGUGAGGUAAAGGCUCACCAAGGCGAGGAUACGUAGCCGGUCUGAGAGGAGGAUCGGCAACAUGGGAACGGGAACCGGCUCAAAACUCCUACGGGAGGCAGCAGUGGGAAAUAUUGGACAAUGGCGGCAAGCCUGACGCACCAAGACGGCGUGGGGAAGAAAGUUCUCGGGGUGGAAAAGCCCGUUUGUUGGGAAGGACGAGCGUGAGGGUGAAAAGCCGCUGUAGUGACGGUAACCAAAGAAAAAGCAACGGCUAACUACGUG
This 496-nucleotide ribosomal RNA is filed under the name uncultured bacterium. Its description in RNAcentral is "partial 16S ribosomal RNA". It matches the Rfam family "Bacterial small subunit ribosomal RNA", at positions 28 to 507 of the family's 1533-position model. The record is from RNAcentral.